GGCGACCGGCGCACGGGUGAGUAACGCGUAUGCAACUUACCUAUCAGAGGGGGAUAGCCCGGCGAAAGUCGGAUUAAUACCCCAUAAAACAGGGGUCCCGCAUGGGAAUAUUUGUUAAAGAUUCAUCGCUGAUAGAUAGGCAUGCGUUCCAUUAGGCAGUUGGCGGGGUAACGGCCCACCAAACCGACGAUGGAUAGGGGUUCUGAGAGGAAGGUCCCCCACAUUGGUACUGAGACACGGACCAA
RNAcentral lists this ribosomal RNA (245 nucleotides) under uncultured bacterium. Its description in RNAcentral is "partial 16S ribosomal RNA". It matches the Rfam family "Bacterial small subunit ribosomal RNA", at positions 90 to 334 of the family's 1533-position model. The record is from RNAcentral.